RNAcentral lists this ribosomal RNA (253 nucleotides) under uncultured bacterium. RNAcentral describes it as "partial 16S ribosomal RNA". It matches the Rfam family "Bacterial small subunit ribosomal RNA", at positions 524 to 776 of the family's 1533-position model. The record is from RNAcentral.
UACGAAAGGGGCUAGCGUUUUUCGGAAUUACUGGGCGUAAAGCGCACGUAGGCGGCUUGGUAAGUUGGGGGUGAAAUCCCAGGGCUCAACCCUGGAACUGCCUCCAAAACUGCUAGGCUAGAGGAUGCGAGAGGUUGGCGGAAUUCCGAGUGUAGAGGUGAAAUUCGUAGAUAUUCGGAAGAACACCAGUGGCGAAGGCGGCUCACUGGCGCAGUACUGACGCUGAGGUGCGAAAGCGUGGGGAGCAAACAGG